UCCGGGGUAGCUCAGCUGGCAGUAGCGAGGGAUUGUUAAUCCCUAGGUCGUGGGUUCGAGCCCCACCCCCGGAGCCA
This 77-nucleotide transfer RNA is filed under the name Acidimicrobiia bacterium. Its description in RNAcentral is "tRNA-Asn". It matches the Rfam family "tRNA". From Rfam's summary of the family: Transfer RNA (tRNA) molecules are approximately 80 nucleotides in length. Their secondary structure includes four short double-helical elements and three loops (D, anti-codon, and T loops). Lineage: Bacteria; Bacillati; Actinomycetota; Acidimicrobiia. The record is from RNAcentral. RNAcentral also lists the same sequence under 1 other name.